Anas platyrhynchos (mallard) is the source of this 773-nucleotide non-coding RNA. The record is from RefSeq and is a predicted model, not a curated record. NCBI's taxonomy places the organism in Eukaryota, Metazoa, Chordata, Aves, Anseriformes, Anatidae.
UUCAGCAUGUCAGGAUGUAGCCUGGCAGCUUUAAAGGACUUUAACGGUUUAGGACUAGCCCGAGAGGACUAAGCCAUUUUCUGUGUCAAGUGCAUCUCAGGAAAAAGACUGUCAGUGGGAAGCUGUGAUUUGUGGUUUACAUGCACGGAAGGGCUUGCUGGGAACGUUGAAACUUUCCAAACAUGCACGACUUUCUCUCCUCAACGUUCAAGUCCACCCACUCAUCGAGUGGGAGCCUCGUAACACAGAUAUAGAGAUUUGAAGCUUUUGAUAGAGAACAUGUGCUGCUGGUGGCAAAGUGAUGGACUGGACUGGACUAAGAUCCUGCACUAAGGAUUCCUCCCUGCCAUUUUCAGAAAUAAUUUGAAGUAAUCAACACAACCUCUGCUUACUAAGCAACAGGAAGACUUCAUUUUUUUUACUUCUGUGAUUUCCUUCAUAUGUUUGUUUGUUUGUUUAUUUUAAUAAUUAAAUAAUGCAUACAAAAUUUACAAUCUUGGUACUGUCAAUUGCAAUGCUGAAACCGAUUGAUUUUACUCAACUGAAGGUUUUCAGCCCAACCUUUGAACAUGUAGCACUAAGUCUGUUCACAUCACUGAUAUGUAGUCUUCCUGGGGUUCCAAAAUAUCCAGCAAAAUUUGUAAUAGCAGUGCAGACAUGUGAAUGGUUAAUUCAAAUCUGCAGAAAACAAAUUUGCUUUUCUCAGUUGUAAUUUGAAAAUGUUACAGACCAUAUAUUAAAAACUAGUUGCCAAUACCUAUUUGGUUUUAGUC